RNAcentral lists this ribosomal RNA (715 nucleotides) under uncultured bacterium. RNAcentral describes it as "bacterial SSU rRNA". It matches the Rfam family "Bacterial small subunit ribosomal RNA", at positions 772 to 1501 of the family's 1533-position model. The record is from RNAcentral.
ACGGAUUAGAUACCCUGGUAGUCCACGCUGUAACGAUGAUCACUCGUUGUUGGCGAUACACCGUCAGCGACUGAGCGAAAGCAAUAAGUGAUCCACCUGGGGAGUACGGCGGCAACGCUGAAACUCAAAGGAAUUGACGGGGGCCCGCACAAGCGGAGGAACAUGUGGUUUAAUUCGAUGAUACGCGAGGAACCUUACCUGGGCUUGAAAGGGGAAUGACCUCCCGGGAAACCGGGAUUCUCUUCGGAGCGUUCUCCUAGGUGCUGCAUGGUUGUCGUCAGCUCGUGCCGUGAGGUGUCGGGUUAAGUCCCAUAACGAGCGCAACCCCUAUUGUUAGUUGCCAGCGGGUAAUGCCGGGAACUCUAACGAAACUGCCGGUGUAAACCGAGAGGAAGGUGGGGAUGACGUCAAAUCAGCACGGCCCUUAUGUCCAGGGCUACACACGUGUUACAAUGGCCGGCACAAAGGGCAGCUACUAGGUGACUAGAUGCUAAUCUCUAAAACCGGUCUCAGUUCGGAUCGAAGUCUGCAACUCGACUUCGUGAAGCUGGAUUCGCUAGUAAUCGCGCAUCAGCAACGGCGCGGUGAAUACGUUCCCGGGCCUUGUACACACCGCCCGUCAAGCCAUGGAAGCUGGGAGUACCUGAAGUCUGUAACCGAAAGGAGCGGCCUAGGGUAAAACCAGUGACUGGGGCUAAGUCGUAACAAGGUACCA